RNAcentral lists this ribosomal RNA (495 nucleotides) under uncultured bacterium. RNAcentral's name for it is "partial 16S ribosomal RNA". It matches the Rfam family "Bacterial small subunit ribosomal RNA", at positions 28 to 507 of the family's 1533-position model. The record is from RNAcentral.
GACGAACGCUGGCGGCGUGCCUAAUACAUGCCAGUAGAACGCUGAAGGAGGAGCUUGCUUCUCUGGAUGAGUUGCGAACGGGUGAGUAACGCGUAGGUAACCUGCCUGGUAGCGGGGGAUAACUAUUGGAAACGAUAGCUAAUACCGCAUAAUAGUAGCUGUUGCAUGACAUUUGCUUAAAAGGUGCAAUUGCAUCACUACCAGAUGGACCUGCGGUGUAUUAGCGAGGUGGUGGGGUAACGGCUCACCAAGGCGACGAUACAUAGCCGACCUGAGAGGGUGAUCGGCCGCACUGGGACUGAGACACGGCCCAGACUCCUACGGGAGGCAGCAGUAGGGAAUCGUCGGCAAUGGGCGGAAGUCUGACCGAGCAACGCCGCGUGAGUGAAGAAGGUUUUCGGAUCGUAAAGCUCUGUUGUAAGAGAAGAACGAGUGUGAGAGUGGAAAGUUCACACUGUGACGGUAUCUUACCAGAAAGGGACGGCUAACUACGUG